Molecule: ribosomal RNA, 253 nt
Filed under: uncultured bacterium
Lineage: Bacteria
Description: partial 16S ribosomal RNA
Rfam family: Bacterial small subunit ribosomal RNA
Source: RNAcentral
UACGGGGGGGUAAGCGUUGUUCGGAAUUAUUGGGCGUAAAGAGCGUGUAGGCGGCCAUGUAGGUCCGUUGUGAAAACUCGAGGCUCAACCUCGAGACGCCGAUGGAAACCAUGUGGCUAGAGUCCGGAAGAGGAGAGUGGAAUUCCUGGUGUAGCGGUGAAAUGCGCAGAUAUCAGGAAGAACACCCGUGGCUAAGGCGGCUCUCUAGUACGGUACUGACGCUGAGACGCGAAAAGCGUGGGGAGCGAACAGG